Molecule: ribosomal RNA, 1343 nt
Filed under: uncultured bacterium
Lineage: Bacteria
Description: 16S ribosomal RNA
Rfam family: Bacterial small subunit ribosomal RNA
Source: RNAcentral
GACGAACGCUGGCGGCGUGCUUAACACAUGCAAGUCGAACGGAAAGGCCCUGCUUUUGUGGGGUGCUCGAGUGGCGAACGGGUGAGUAACACGUGAGUAACCUGCCCUUGACUUUGGGAUAACUUCAGGAAACUGGGGCUAAUACCGGAUAGGAGCUCCUGCUGCAUGGUGGGGGUUGGAAAGUUUCGGCGGUUGGGGAUGGACUCGCGGCUUAUCAGCUUGUUGGUGGGGUAGUGGCUUACCAAGGCUUUGACGGGUAGCCGGCCUGAGAGGGUGACCGGCCACAUUGGGACUGAGAUACGGCCCAGACUCCUACGGGAGGCAGCAGUGGGGAAUAUUGCACAAUGGGCGGAAGCCUGAUGCAGCAACGCCGCGUGCGGGAUGACGGCCUUCGGGUUGUAAACCGCUUUCGCCUGUGACGAAGCGUGAGUGACGGUAAUGGAUAAAGAAGCACCGGCUAACUACGUGCCAGCAGCCGCGGUGAUACGUAGGGUGCGAGCGUUGUCCGGAUUUAUUGGGCGUAAAGGGCUCGUAGGUGGUUGAUCGCGUCGGAAGUGUAAUCUUGGGGCUUAACCCUGAGCGUGCUUUCGAUACGGGUUGACUUGAGGAAGGUAGGGGAGAAUGGAAUUCCUGGUGGAGCGGUGGAAUGCGCAGAUAUCAGGAGGAACACCAGUGGCGAAGGCGGUUCUCUGGGCCUUUCCUGACGCUGAGGAGCGAAAGCGUGGGGAGCGAACAGGCUUAGAUACCCUGGUAGUCCACGCUGUAAACGGUGGGUACUAGGUGUGGGGUCCAUUCCACGGGUUCCGUGCCGUAGCUAACGCUUUAAGUACCCCGCCUGGGGAGUACGGCCGCAAGGCUAAAACUCAAAGGAAUUGACGGGGCCCCGCACAAGCGGCGGAGCAUGCGGAUUAAUUCGAUGCAACGCGUAGAACCUUACCUGGGUUUGACAUGGAUCGGGAGCGCUCAGAGAUGGGUGUGCCUCUUUUGGGGUCGGUUCACAGGUGGUGCAUGGCUGUCGUCAGCUCGUGUCGUGAGAUGUUGGGUUAAGUCCCGCAACGAGCGCAACCCUUGUUCACUGUUGCCAGCACGUUAUGGUGGGGACUCAGUGGAGACCGCCGGGGUCAACUCGGAGGAAGGUGGGGAUGACGUCAAGUCAUCAUGCCCCUUAUGUCCAGGGCUUCACGCAUGCUACAAUGGCUGGUACAGAGAGUGGCGAGCCUGUGAGGGUGAGCGAGUCUCGGAAAGCCGGUCUCAGUUCGGAUUGGGGUCUGCAACUCGACCUCAUGAAGUCGGAGUCGCUAGUAAUCGCAGAUCAGCAACGCUGCGGUGAAUACGUUCCCGGG